UUCAUUGCGAUUAGAUCAGCUGUGAAUUGGCUUGAAAAGUGAUACUUUUCUUCAAAACUAUUCCAUUUAGCAUCUGAAUCUUCAUAUUUUGUUUUCUCCAAAGCAUGAGCAAUGCUAACCUGAGUAACACCAAGUUUAGAAGCCAUUAAGGAUGAAACUAAGUUUCCAUCAGUAUAAUUUCCAAUAAUGAGGUCAGGUUUUCCAUCCAUAAGUUCAAGAAUCUU
RNAcentral lists this long non-coding RNA (224 nucleotides) under Medicago truncatula (barrel medic). Its description in RNAcentral is "lncRNA gene37181". Lineage: Eukaryota; Viridiplantae; Streptophyta; Magnoliopsida; Fabales; Fabaceae. The record is from RNAcentral.